CAGUUGCGAAAGCUUCCAUGCUUUUUCAUGCUUCCAUGAUUCCAUCACAUCAUCGAUCCACUUAACUGAGUAAUUAGGCAGGAUGUGGCUUGUUAAGGUUUGGAAAAGUCAUUCAUUUGUUCAGCUAAAAAUACAGAGAGCUCUAUUCGAUCCCUGUGUGGUGGUUCUAACAGAACAAACCGUGACCAGAAUGGCUGAAGCUUGAAACUCUCCACUGAUAUCACCCACACAAUGAUGUGUGUUAGAUCUGAUCUCUGAGGUGGCGAAUAUGAUUUUUUAUGAUUGGUCAUUUACUCAGCACAGGUCCUCCCUUGAGUUCACAAAACAAAAGCAUCUGGUAACAAGAACUUACAUGGCUCGUUUCCAGACUCCCCCUUCCAGGUUAAAAACCAAGGGUCAGAGUUUAUCACCCCAGCCUCGAGCACAGCCAUAGCGGUAGAUAAUGAGGAGAGAGGUCAAAGUUCACCAGGCUUCAAUGCACAGGUCGUGGGGAGUUGAACCCCUCUGUAAGUUUCUACAGUCAAUUGGUCCCUGAGCAGACAUUCCCAUCCAUUCAAUAUUCGGCGACGUGACGUGUGCGGUGACUUGCACACACUGAGCGUGUUGUGGAGGAAACUUUGUUUCAUACUCGCAGGCUGUAGCAAACUGCAUACUUGAAGCUGAAAUGUCUUAUUUGCACUGCAGAGCGAUUUAUUCUGUUUUGUGGGGUGGCUUGCUGGCGGGACGCCCGGUGGAAUUGGAGCCAAAGCAUGUGUCAGGAGACUGAGUGAGGUGAGCAGAGACAGAUACAGGUUUACAUGUCUCUUUGAGUCACCCCUCAGGCAGCAGCGCCUCUGCAUUCAUCAGAAUACUGCAAACAAUGGAAUACACAUUCUCUCCAUCUGAGCCGUCUCCAGAAACAGCCCUGAUGCAUGUCUGUGGCUCUGGCUGUGAACGGGCCCCUUCCCAGGAUUUCACCUCAAACCACAAGGGAAAAAACAGCUCUUCAUGUCCCUGGUCCACCGCUCAUGUGUGCAGGAGCUGACGGCUGCAGGCCAGAGUGACUGGCCGUGUCAAGCGAGAGUUUGUGCUGUCAUGUUACCUCGAGAAUCCUGUUUCACGUCGAUGUGCACACUCACCAAAAACACAGCGCUGGAAACACUUGGCCCCGAGCUACUUUCCCAUCCAGCUGCGAUGUUGAACGCACAUUUGACUUCUGCUAGUUUUCAAGCUUUCAGUAUCAUGUCAUUUCAGAAUGGCUAUGGUUUUUAAUUGAUAUUGUCUCAAAGGUCCCACUCAUUCUGUACUUGCUCUUGAGUAUGCUGCAAUUGAAGGAGCUUAUUUGAGCUACUUAACUUGGAAGUAUGAAAACAGUGUUUUGGAGUCACAUUUUUCAAAAGCCACUUUUUUUCUUCUUUAAGAACAUUGUAAUCCAUCAAAUCUUAGUAGUGAAAAUAGAAGUUGUGUGCAUGUUUACACUCACAUAUACUUGGAGGCAUACCAGACUUAUGUUGUUCUUAUAUAAAG
Molecule: long non-coding RNA, 1506 nt
Organism: Carassius carassius (crucian carp)
Lineage: Eukaryota; Metazoa; Chordata; Actinopteri; Cypriniformes; Cyprinidae
Exons: 3
Source: RefSeq, a predicted model, not a curated record